UACGUAGGGGGCAAGCGUUGUCCGGAAUCAUUGGGCGUAAAGCGCGUGUAGGCGGCCCGAUAAGUCCGCUGUGAAAGUCCAGGGCUCAACCCUGGGAUGCCGGUGGAUACUGUCGGGCUCGAGUCCGGAAGAGGAGUGUGGAAUUCCUGGUGUAGCGGUGAAAUGCGCAGAUAUCAGGAGGAACACCAAUGGCGAAGGCAGCACUCUGGGACGUGACUGACGCUGAGACGCGAAAGCGUGGGGGGGCAAACAGG
Molecule: ribosomal RNA, 254 nt
Filed under: uncultured bacterium
Lineage: Bacteria
Description: partial 16S ribosomal RNA
Rfam family: Bacterial small subunit ribosomal RNA
Source: RNAcentral